Long non-coding RNA from Podarcis raffonei (Aeolian wall lizard), 441 nucleotides. RefSeq lists it as uncharacterized. NCBI's taxonomy places the organism in Eukaryota, Metazoa, Chordata, Lepidosauria, Squamata, Lacertidae. The record is from RefSeq and is a predicted model, not a curated record. The transcript is spliced from 2 exons.
GUAUGGAUAAGAAGUGGGCUAUGUGACUUUUUAUUAGUAAGUGAACAAACGGUCCCUUGGUGCUGAGGUGCCGCCCCAGUUGUGAUGCCCAAAGAGGUUAUGGUGACGUGUCCACAGCUGCUCCCAUUGGCUGGGGGCUGUCUAUGAUGUCACAAAGGCACCUGUCAGUUGCCUGGCUAUAAAAGUGGGCCUCUCCCUCUUCCCAGCACAGACCUCAGAGGCAGCAGCUGUGGCACUCAGCUCUGGGGGAUCUCCUUCCUCAUGGAUGCAAAAUGGCAGGAGGAAGGAGGCACUCAUCCCGCAAUGGGAUGCUGAGGAACAGGCAGAAGGCAACCAGUGAGGUUUUCCCCGAGACCGAUCGUGAAAGUAAUGAAGAGAACAGCAGGACUGAAGCAAGGCAGUUUAUUUUCCUAAAUAAAUGCCUUUUUUUAAAAAGCAAAA